This 218-nucleotide long non-coding RNA is filed under the name Linum usitatissimum (flax). RNAcentral's name for it is "long non-coding RNA (LUSI_LNC006595)". Lineage: Eukaryota; Viridiplantae; Streptophyta; Magnoliopsida; Malpighiales; Linaceae. The record is from RNAcentral.
CUCUUUUCACACUCUUUCUUGACUGCUACAAUUCUUCAGUGUUUUUCCCAGUUUACCCUUUUGGGGUCUUCAUAUGUUUCUGCAGCACCACUUUCUCCACCAAUCUCAACCUAUAGAUUUGCCCUCUAUGGAAGUCCAGAGUUCAGAAUAAGGUUCUUUCCUCUACUGCACCCCUAUAAUCUAAUCCCAGAUCUAUGAACUCAAUUGUACAGAGAAAG